GGAAGUGUUUGGGUGUGAGGGUACAUCAGUCACACCACUGAUCCUAGUGUCGACUCAGCUGAUCUGCCUGGCUGCGUGGGCACCCCCUACCUCCCUCACUGCUCCACAUGUGUCCCUCUGGAAGCUGUGCACUCCAUUGAAGAGAGCGACCUUCUCCAUAGAAGGAGGACUGUCCUUCGGUCAAGGGUGUAGCAGUUGCAUUCCCCUGUUAGGACCUCCAAACAAGCUCUCCAAGAGGCAGCAUUGAACCAAGGACAAAGAGGGUUGCUUAAGACAGAGGGACUGAAACAGGAAACAUAU
This 300-nucleotide small nuclear RNA is filed under the name Echinops telfairi (small Madagascar hedgehog). Its description in RNAcentral is "7SK RNA (ENSETEG00000024105.1)". It matches the Rfam family "7SK RNA", at positions 1 to 284 of the family's 331-position model. Rfam says of the family: 7SK was discovered as an abundant small nuclear RNA in the mid-70s but a possible function has only recently been suggested. The record is from RNAcentral. Lineage: Eukaryota; Metazoa; Chordata; Mammalia; Afrosoricida; Tenrecidae.